GCUCUGUCUGGCCCAUUUUUAUUGGCAAUAGUUGCUUUAUAUCCACGUGUAAGGAACUGAAAUUACCUCUGCUUUUGAUAAAAAUAAAUUGUCUUUCUCUUUGCAAAGUAUAAUCAUCUCUCAUCCCUUUCUCUUUUCAUCUUGAAACGGCAUAUGGCAAGAUGUAAGCACAAGGGUGGACAAGCAGAUGGAAAAAAAUAGCAUGUUCUCGGGGUCACUAGAAACCUUGUGGAUGCUUCAACUGUGUCAAAUGCACAAGCAGUGCAGAGAAGAACAAGGUAAACGUUCUGUAGCACAAUGUAAUUAUAGAAAACUUUAGUAUUUAGGAUAGAAAGGCGACUGGUCCAUAUAUGUUCAAAGUUUUCUUAUUUUGCAUAAACCACUUUAAGUGUUUUCAA
Molecule: long non-coding RNA, 398 nt
Organism: Solanum tuberosum (potato)
Lineage: Eukaryota; Viridiplantae; Streptophyta; Magnoliopsida; Solanales; Solanaceae
Exons: 3
Source: RefSeq, a predicted model, not a curated record